This 369-nucleotide long non-coding RNA is filed under the name Linum usitatissimum (flax). RNAcentral describes it as "long non-coding RNA (LUSI_LNC007717)". The record is from RNAcentral. Lineage: Eukaryota; Viridiplantae; Streptophyta; Magnoliopsida; Malpighiales; Linaceae.
AUUGUUUCAUAAUGGUCCAGUUAGGAUCUAUAUGGUUCGAUGUAGUGGAUCAAAUUGCAUAAAUGUUAAAGUACGGUGCGACACAUGGAAAAUAUGUUAAUUAAAAUACAAAUGUAAGAGAAAUUGCAUACUAUUGAUUGUUGAAGUUUUUAGAUUUGAAAGCGGGUUGUUCAUAACCUGAAGGAAAUUAGUGCAAUAAUAUUACGGUUAUGUCGUGAAACAAUCGCCCUCCUUAAGAAAUGUAACUCACGGAUUAGCUAGACAAUCUUGUUUAGAAAAAAGAAAAAAAAAAGAAAGCGAUUGAGCAUAAUUAAUGAAAAAUUCAACAAAUCAUUUGGAAAUGGUAAAGAAACGUGACAAUCCAUACUU